This 527-nucleotide ribosomal RNA is filed under the name uncultured bacterium. Its description in RNAcentral is "partial 16S ribosomal RNA". It matches the Rfam family "Bacterial small subunit ribosomal RNA", at positions 355 to 897 of the family's 1533-position model. The record is from RNAcentral.
UGGGGAAUAUUGGACAAUGGGGGCAACCCUGAUCCAGCAAUGCCGCGUGUGUGAAGAAGGUCUUCGGAUUGUAAAGCACUUUCGACGGGGACGAUGAUGACGGUACCCGUAGAAGAAGCCCCGGCUAACUUCGUGCCAGCAGCCGCGGUAAUACGAAGGGGGCUAGCGUUGCUCGGAAUGACUGGGCGUAAAGGGCGUGUAGGCGGUUUACACAGUCAGAUGUGAAAUCCCCGGGCUUAACCUGGGAGCUGCAUUUGAUACGUGUAGACUAGAGUGUGAGAGAGGGUUGUGGAAUUCCCAGUGUAGAGGUGAAAUUCGUAGAUAUUGGGAAGAACACCGGUGGCGAAGGCGGCAACCUGGCUCAUGACUGACGCUGAGGCGCGAAAAGCGUGGGGAGCAAACAGGAUUAGAUACCCUGGUAGUCCACGCUGUAAACGAUGUGUGCUAGAUGUUGGGUAACUUUGUUAUUCAGUGUCGCAGUUAACGCGUUAAAGCACACCGCCUGGGGAGUACGGCCGCAAGGUUGA